CUACGGGUUGCACCAGUGAGGAAUAUUGGACAAUGGAGGCAACUCUGAUCCAGCCAUGCCGCGUGCAGGAAGACGGCCCUACGGGUUGUAAACUGCUUUUAUACAGGAAGAAACGCCGCUACGUGUAGCGGUUUGACGGUACUGUACGAAUAAGGAUCGGCUAACUCCGUGCCAGCAGCCGCGGUAAUACGGAGGAUCCAAGCGUUAUCCGGAAUCAUUGGGUUUAAAGGGUCCGUAGGCGGUUUUUUAAGUCAGAGGUGAAAUCCUGCAGCUCAACUGUAGCAUUGCCUUUGAUACUGAAAGACUUGAGUUAUUGUGAAGUAGUUAGAAUGUGUAGUGUAGCGGUGAAAUGCAUAGAUAUUACACAGAAUACCGAUUGCGAAGGCAGAUUACUAACAAUAUACUGACGCUGAGGGACGAAAGCGUGGGUAGCGAACAGGAUUAGAUACCCGAGUAGUC
Molecule: ribosomal RNA, 459 nt
Filed under: uncultured bacterium
Lineage: Bacteria
Description: partial 16S ribosomal RNA
Rfam family: Bacterial small subunit ribosomal RNA
Source: RNAcentral